UCCCCGGAGGACAAGUGGUUAGGCCACAGUGCUCGCACCAUUGUGACCUGGGUUCGAUUCCCAGCCAGGGAA
Molecule: transfer RNA, 72 nt
Filed under: Pangasianodon gigas (Mekong giant catfish)
Lineage: Eukaryota; Metazoa; Chordata; Actinopteri; Siluriformes; Pangasiidae
Description: tRNA-Ala
Rfam family: tRNA
About the family: Transfer RNA (tRNA) molecules are approximately 80 nucleotides in length. Their secondary structure includes four short double-helical elements and three loops (D, anti-codon, and T loops).
Source: RNAcentral